GGCGAGGGGUGCUGCUGUCCCCACAAGUGGAAACCAUGUGUUCCUUCCUGAGCAGCUGAUGAGAUGCAGUCCCCUAAUUAGAGAGUGAGUCCUGCUUGAAGCCUCAAACUGAGACUCUAAUGCUAAUCAGCAUUUUCAUUCCAGUACAUUUGGCAAAAUAAAAACAGCUGUGAAGAGAGCCAGUGAAAAAGACAAGAGUCCUCAUCCUUGCCUUCUAGCCCUCCAGCUUUGGGACACAGCCAUUUCAAUUGCUUUUCCUCUCCCCCUUCUCUUUUUGACUUGCCAGGGAAUAUGAUACCUGCUAAGCAGCAUAUGCUUCCAUCUCCUGACCCCCAAAGAAACUGCCCAGGUUCCUGAUUAGGGCUGGCCCUCGGGCUCUGCUCGGGUGUCUGACAUUGCAGUUGGGCUCUGUGGCAGGAAGGAUCACACAGAUGCGAGCCACAGGGAUGCUAGAGGGUCUAUUUUCAAGAGACUGGGCUGCGAGCAAGUCACAGACAAAACCAAAGAACACAACCCAUCGCCCUAGAGCACCACUUUUCAGCUCCUGAUGGGUUUGGCCUCUGUCCUCCCUGCUUUUGUGGAUUUCUGAUUGCCAAACCUGGUGUUGCUCUGUCUACCAGGAAAAUGAACUCAAUGAAGAGAGCCAAAGGAAGUUCAGGUGCUAUAAAGCAGGACACUCUAAAAAUGAAAGUUGUUUCUGUACUUGGUUCAGCUGAUAAGAGGGAAGUAAAUCCAUCAAACAAUAAAAUAUUGAAUGUUCU
This 761-nucleotide long non-coding RNA is filed under the name Canis lupus familiaris (dog). RNAcentral describes it as "lncRNA (ENSCAFG00000045768.2, ENSCAFG00845012028.1)". Lineage: Eukaryota; Metazoa; Chordata; Mammalia; Carnivora; Canidae. The record is from RNAcentral.